UAGCGUAGGGUGCGAGCGUUUAAUUCGGAAAUUACUGGGCGUAAAGCGUGCGCAGGCGGUUCGUUUGUGUCGGCGGUGAAAAGCCCCGGGCUUUAACCCGUGGGAAUGGCCGGUUGAAACUGGCGAACUGGAGUGUGGCAGGAGGGGGUGGAAUUCCGCGUGUAGCAGUGAAAUGCGUAGAGAUGUGGAGGAAUACCGAUGGC
This 203-nucleotide ribosomal RNA is filed under the name uncultured bacterium. RNAcentral describes it as "partial 16S ribosomal RNA". It matches the Rfam family "Bacterial small subunit ribosomal RNA", at positions 523 to 716 of the family's 1533-position model. The record is from RNAcentral.